This 457-nucleotide ribosomal RNA is filed under the name uncultured microorganism. Its description in RNAcentral is "bacterial SSU rRNA". It matches the Rfam family "Bacterial small subunit ribosomal RNA", at positions 346 to 795 of the family's 1533-position model. The record is from RNAcentral.
GGGCUGCAGUAGGGAAUCUUCGGCAAUGGGCGAAAGCCUGACCGAGCAAUGCCGCGUGAGGGAUGAAGGCCUUCGGGUUGUAAACCUCUGUCAUCGGGGAAGAAAGUUGUCCGCAGGAAAUGGUGGGCAGUUGACGGUACCCGAGGAGGAAGUCACGGCUAAUUACGUGCCAGCAGCCGCGGUAAUACGUAAGUGGCAAGCGUUGUCCGGAAUCACUGGGUGUAAAGCGCAUGUAGGCGGUUCUGUAAGUCUGGGGUGAAAUCCACGGGCCUAACCCGUGAACGGCCCUGGAAACUGCAGGACUUGAGGUUCAGAGGGGAAAGUGGAAUUUCGGGUGUAGCGGUGAAAUGCGUAGAUAUCCGAGAGAACACCAAUGGCGAAGGCAGCUUUCUGGCUGGAUCCUGACGCUGAGAUGCGAAAGCUAGGGUAGCGAACGGGAUUAGAUACCCCAGUAGUC